GAUGAACGCUAGCGGCAGGCCUAAUACAUGCAAGACGAACGGUAAGUUUGAUAGCAAUAUUGAACCUAGAGUGUCGUAAGGGUGCGUAACACGUAUGCAAUCUACCCUCAACAGGAGGAUAGCUCCCCGAAAGGGGAAUUAACACUCCAUAAGAUCACAGGAUGGCAUCAUUCAGUGAUUAAAACUCCGGUGGUUGAGGAUGAGCAUGCGCAUGAUUAGUUAGUUGGCGGGGUAAUGGCCCACCAAGACGAUGAUCAUUAGGGGAACUGAGAGGUUGAUCCCCCACACUGGCACUGAGAUACGGGCCAGACUCCUACGGGAGGCAGCAGUAGGGAAUAUUGGACAAUGGGUGCGAGCCUGAUCCAGCCAUGCCGCGUGCAGGAAGACGGCCUUCUGGUUGUAACGUAGCUUUGUCCUACGGGGAGUAAAAGAACCAACUGCGUGGUCGAAUUGAAGGUACUCCGGUGAUAAGACCACGGCUAACU
Molecule: ribosomal RNA, 485 nt
Filed under: uncultured bacterium
Lineage: Bacteria
Description: bacterial SSU rRNA
Rfam family: Bacterial small subunit ribosomal RNA
Source: RNAcentral